GGAGGUGUACCAAAGUGGUUACUGGGAAGGACUUGAAUCAGCUUUGAUCGUAAUCCUUUGGGCUCUGCCCGCGUAGGUUCGAACCCUGCCACCUUCG
Molecule: non-coding RNA, 97 nt
Organism: Microstroma glucosiphilum
Lineage: Eukaryota; Fungi; Basidiomycota; Exobasidiomycetes; Microstromatales; Microstromataceae
Source: the annotation of a RefSeq genome assembly